This 324-nucleotide ribosomal RNA is filed under the name uncultured eukaryote. RNAcentral's name for it is "partial 18S ribosomal RNA". It matches the Rfam family "Eukaryotic small subunit ribosomal RNA", at positions 1470 to 1796 of the family's 1831-position model. The record is from RNAcentral.
CCCUUAGAUGUUCCGGGCCGCACGCGCGCUACACUGAUGCAUUCAACGAGUUUCUUCCUGGUCCGAGAGGAAUGGGUAACCUUUUGAAAGUGCAUCGUGAUAGGGAUAGACUAUUGCAAUUAUUGGUCUUCAACGAGGAAUUCCUAGUAGACGUAGUUCAUCAGACUGCAUCGAUUACGUCCCUGCCCUUUGUACACACUGCCCGUCGCUCCUACCGAUUGAAUGCUCAGGUGAGCCAUUCGGACCUUCAUCAUGCCGGUUUCCGGUUUUGAUGAGGGAAAGUCUUGCGAACCUUAUCAUUUAGAGGAAGGAGAAGUCGUAACA